GAAACACAGUGUGCACACUGAAGAGAUGAAAAAGCUAUUAGAUAUUUCAUGGAGCUAAGCGAUGCCACAGGUCUGAAACCGCUCCAAGAUGCUUUGGCAGGACAUUGUCUGCCCUGGAAAGCUGAGUUAUGGUAGAACGGCCAACUUCUGCCCUAUGGUUGGCCGUUCAACCGUAACAGUCAAUCUGGUCUAUGCCAAGAAGCAGCAUCUUCUCGUGUGAAAGGCCUGCUAGAGGACACAUUGGGAGAACUUCAAAUAGACGCUUAUCCUCACUACUCACAGUGCGCAGUGCCGUAUGGGUUUUAUGCUGCCACUGGAGGUUCAGUCUUUGGACUGGAUGAGGCAGAAACUGGAGGUCAGCCUCCUUGGAAUCAUCCAGAGCAUCGAGGCUUUCCUCCUGGACAAGAAGGCUCAGGACAAGGGUCACCUCGCAGCACUGAUGGGCUUCACAAUACGACAAGAUAGGAAUUACUUUGUCAUCAAAAGUGUUCCACUCAUGCAUGAGCUUUUUAUGAGGUGUGCUGUAGCAAAUUUCCAUUAGUGAGAGCAUGCAAGGAUUUGGCUGUCCUCACGUAACAAGUAAAUAUCCAGUGAGGUUUAAAUUUUGCAGCACCUUGUGUCCUUAAUUCAGAGGCUGUUGGGUGUAAAAAGAAAGGAAAACAAACUUUUAACUGUAGAUGUUGACUAGGAGAGACUACUGACUUGAUGCGUCAUCCCACAGUGAGUCUCACUGAGAGUGGUCCAGUCGACACUCAUUUCCUGGUCAGCCUGCAGAAGGCAGAGCUCAGGGAUGCAUCCUCCCCAAAAGGCCAACAGCUGCACACUCAGCUAUAAAAAGUACAUGCAGCACUGUGGCUCAGACAUUGUAAAGAUCCAGUAUGUUGUAUUUCUGCAGUAGGUCCCACCUUCAUAAAUAAUGCUGGCAGAAACUUAACAUUGGCUCAGGUUAUGCCUCAGGGUCAUGCCUCAGGGUCAGCCAGGAAGUGGUUCAAUUUCAGUGGAGCAUGUUAAAUAAGGGAGAUUUUCAAUGAACAUUUACAGGAAGUGAUGUCAAAAACGACUUUUAACUCUACCAAUGUCUGUUUGGGUUUGGAUUUUUCUGACCAUCGCUUUUUAAAAGCACUAUUUAAUCAUUUAGACCACUUAAAUAAAUGUUUUUUCAUCUGAGCCCUUAGGUCCCCAGCACUUUUCAUUACACAGUGAUGCCCUUGUGUUUGUCCCUCUCUUGUCUUCUGAGGGUGUGAUUUUAGUUCAAGUCUCUUAGCAGUGCUUCACAGGAACCAGCAUCAUUGCGGAGGUGAACAUCAUGGCACCACCUCUUUGACCUCCACUCAGCCUUCCAGCCAAACCUCACUCUACCUACCAUCAACAGUCUUGCAGGAGACUGGAUUGUAUUCUCGAAUAGACAGGCACAUGCAUUAUAUACUUUAAACCAUUUAUCUAUGCACCGCAAGAUAAUUUA
Acanthopagrus latus (yellowfin seabream) is the source of this 1462-nucleotide long non-coding RNA. RefSeq lists it as uncharacterized. Lineage: Eukaryota; Metazoa; Chordata; Actinopteri; Spariformes; Sparidae. The record is from RefSeq and is a predicted model, not a curated record. The transcript has 3 exons.